Molecule: long non-coding RNA, 338 nt
Filed under: Manihot esculenta (cassava)
Lineage: Eukaryota; Viridiplantae; Streptophyta; Magnoliopsida; Malpighiales; Euphorbiaceae
Description: long non-coding RNA (MESC_LNC002082)
Source: RNAcentral
ACUGGGUUUUUGGGAAGUACUUUGUUCACUUAUAAUUUUCUGUAAUAAUUUUGACAUGUCAUGUAAUUCUGUCUUUGGACUUAGUGUUACUAUCUCAAUGGGGUUUUGUGAUGGAGGUAUCAUUUUUGUGAAAGGUUUUUUAAUAGGUUUUAUAGCUGGAUCUAUAUCAUAUGGUUUUGGAUUACUAUAUCUCUGAGAUAAAUAUAUAGUAUUUGGUUUAGGCGUUAUAGGAGAAGGUGCUUGUGGUGUUUCUAUAUGUUCUAUAUUUGUUAUUCCUUCAUGAUUUCUAUCUAUUUUUUCUUCCAUUCUAUCUAAUUGUUGUCCUAUUAUAUGUAAUG